AGUCCCGCAACGAGCGCAACCCUUGUCCUCUGUUGCCAUCACGUAAUGGUGGGCACUCUGAGGAGACUGCCGGUGAUAAACCGGAGGAAGGUGGGGAUGACGUCAAGUCAGCAUGGCCUUUAUGUCUGGGGCUACACACGUGCUACAAUGGCCGGUACAAAGCGUCGCAAACUCGCGAGGGGGAGCUAAUCGCAGAAAGCCGGUCUCAGUUCGGAUUGUAGGCUGCAACGCGCCUGCAUGAAGUCGGAAUCGCUAGUAAUCGCGGAUCAGCAUGCCGCGGUGAAUACGUUCCCGGGCCUUAUACUCACCGCCCGUCACAUCACGAAAGCCGGCUGCACAGGACCUCUUCGCUAACCCGCAAGGGGGGCAGGCGCCUAAGGUA
This 382-nucleotide ribosomal RNA is filed under the name uncultured Acidobacteriota bacterium. RNAcentral's name for it is "bacterial SSU rRNA". It matches the Rfam family "Bacterial small subunit ribosomal RNA", at positions 1083 to 1464 of the family's 1533-position model. Lineage: Bacteria; Pseudomonadati; Acidobacteriota. The record is from RNAcentral.